GGAGUUAGCCGGUGCUUCUUCUGUGAGUGAUGUCCUUCCUGCCGGCUAUUAACCCGCAGGCCUUCUUCCUCACUGAAAGUGCUUUACAACCCGAAGGCCUUCUUCACACACGCGGCAUGGCUGGAUCAGGGUUGCCCCCAUUGUCCAAUAUUCCCCACUGCUGCCUCCCGUAGGAGUCUGGGCCGUGUCUCAGUCCCAGUGUGGCUGAUCAUCCUCUCAGACCAGCUACGGAUCGUCGCCUUGGUGAGCCGUUACCUCACCAACCAGCUAAUCCGACAUAGGCUCAUCCGAUAGCGCGAGGCCCGAAGGUCCCCCGCUUUCCCCCGUAGGGCGUAUGCGGUAUUAGCCUGGGUUUCCCCAGGUUAUCCCCCACUACCGGACAGAUUCCUAUGCAUUACUCACCCGUCCGCCGCUCGCCACCAGGGAGCAAGCUCCCCGUGCUGCCGCUCGACUUGCAUGUGUUAGGCCUGCCGCCAGCGUUCAAUCUGAGCCAGGAUCAAACUCUGA
RNAcentral lists this ribosomal RNA (507 nucleotides) under uncultured bacterium. Its description in RNAcentral is "partial 16S ribosomal RNA". The record is from RNAcentral.